RNAcentral lists this ribosomal RNA (397 nucleotides) under uncultured bacterium. RNAcentral describes it as "partial 16S ribosomal RNA". It matches the Rfam family "Bacterial small subunit ribosomal RNA", at positions 359 to 774 of the family's 1533-position model. The record is from RNAcentral.
CAUAUUGCACAAUGGGGGAAACCCUGAUGCAGCGACGCCGCGUGCGUGAAGAAGUAUUUCGUUAUGUUACGCUCCAUCAGCAUGGAAGAAAAUGACGGUACCUGACUAAGAAGCCCUGGCUAACUACGUGCCAGCAGCCGCGGUAAUACGUAGGGGGCAAGCGUUAUCCGGAUUUACUGGGUGUAAAGGGAGCGUAGGUUGUGUGGUAAAUCAGAUGUGAAAGCACGGAGGUCAACCCAGGGACUGCAUUUGAAACUAUCAAACUAGAGUGCAUGAGAGGUAAGUGGAAUUCAUAGUGUAGCGGUGAAAUGCGUAGAUAGUAGGAGGAACACCAGUGGCGAAGGCGGCUUACUAGACAGUAACUGACACUAAGGAUCGAUAGCGUGGGGAGCAAACA